CCCUGACUGUGUAAUGCAGACACUGGCCACGACAGGAGAUUAAAAUG
This 47-nucleotide non-coding RNA is filed under the name unclassified sequences. Its description in RNAcentral is "Mu-gpT-DE RNA". It matches the Rfam family "Mu-gpT-DE RNA". The record is from Rfam by way of RNAcentral.